This 1164-nucleotide ribosomal RNA is filed under the name human gut metagenome. RNAcentral's name for it is "bacterial SSU rRNA". It matches the Rfam family "Bacterial small subunit ribosomal RNA", at positions 90 to 1255 of the family's 1533-position model. The record is from RNAcentral.
GGCGACCGGCGCACGGGUGAGUAACGCGUAUGCAACUUACCUAUCAGAGGGGGAUAACCCGGCGAAAGUCGGACUAAUACCGCAUGAAGCAGGGGCCCCGCAUGGGGAUAUUUGCUAAAGAUUCAUCGCUGAUAGAUAGGCAUGCGUUCCAUUAGGCAGUUGGCGGGGUAACGGCCCACCAAACCGACGAUGGAUAGGGGUUCUGAGAGGAAGGUCCCCCACAUUGGUACUGAGACACGGACCAAACUCCUACGGGAGGCAGCAGUGAGGAAUAUUGGUCAAUGGCCGAGAGGCUGAACCAGCCAAGUCGCGUGAGGGAUGAAGGUUCUAUGGAUCGUAAACCUCUUUUAUAAGGGAAUAAAGUGCGGGACGUGUCCCGUUUUGUAUGUACCUUAUGAAUAAGGAUCGGCUAACUCCGUGCCAGCAGCCGCGGUAAUACGGAGGAUCCGAGCGUUAUCCGGAUUUAUUGGGUUUAAAGGGUGCGUAGGCGGCCUUUUAAGUCAGCGGUGAAAGUCUGUGGCUCAACCAUAGAAUUGCCGUUGAAACUGGGGGGCUUGAGUAUGUUUGAGGCAGGCGGAAUGCGUGGUGUAGCGGUGAAAUGCAUAGAUAUCACGCAGAACCCCGAUUGCGAAGGCAGCCUGCCAAGCCAUGACUGACGCUGAUGCACGAAAGCGUGGGGAUCAAACAGGAUUAGAUACCCUGGUAGUCCACGCAGUAAACGAUGAUCACUAGCUGUUUGCGAUACACUGUAAGCGGCACAGCGAAAGCGUUAAGUGAUCCACCUGGGGAGUACGCCGGCAACGGUGAAACUCAAAGGAAUUGACGGGGGCCCGCACAAGCGGAGGAACAUGUGGUUUAAUUCGAUGAUACGCGAGGAACCUUACCCGGGUUUGAACGCAUUCGGACCGAGGUGGAAACACCUUUUCUAGCAAUAGCCGUUUGCGAGGUGCUGCAUGGUUGUCGUCAGCUCGUGCCGUGAGGUGUCGGCUUAAGUGCCAUAACGAGCGCAACCCUUGCCACUAGUUACUAACAGGUAAAGCUGAGGACUCUGGUGGGACUGCCAGCGUAAGCUGCGAGGAAGGCGGGGAUGACGUCAAAUCAGCACGGCCCUUACAUCCGGGGCGACACACGUGUUACAAUGGCGUGGACAAAGGGAGGCCACCU